Small nuclear RNA from Perca fluviatilis (European perch), 105 nucleotides. NCBI's taxonomy places the organism in Eukaryota, Metazoa, Chordata, Actinopteri, Perciformes, Percidae. The record is from RefSeq and is a predicted model, not a curated record.
GUGCUUGCUCAGGCAGCACAUAUGACAAAAUUGGAACGAUACAAAAGAAGAUUAGCAUGGCCCCCGCCUGACCGCGCAUAAUUCGGUGAAGCGUUACCACAUUUU